CUACCGACGUUGAGAGGCGUCGGGAUGAACGGGCAGAAGUCCGCCGAGGGCAUAGUAGCCGCUGCGCACGGCGGCGAAGGCC
This is a non-coding RNA of Deltaproteobacteria bacterium CG2_30_66_27, 82 nucleotides long. NCBI's taxonomy places the organism in Bacteria, Deltaproteobacteria. The record is from Rfam.